UACGGGGGGAGCAAGCGUUGUUCGGAUUUACUGGGCGUAAAGGGCGUGUAGGCGGCCACCGCAAGUCGGUUGUGAAAUCUCCGGGCUUAACCCGGAAAGGUCAACCGAUACUGCGGGGCUAGAGUGCAGAAGGGGCAACUGGAAUUCUCGGUGUAGCGGUGAAAUGCGUAGAUAUCUGGAGGAAUACCGGUGGCGAAGGCGGCAUCCUGGACCGACAUUGACGCUGAACGGCGAAAGCUAGGGGAGCAAACGGG
RNAcentral lists this ribosomal RNA (254 nucleotides) under uncultured bacterium. RNAcentral's name for it is "partial 16S ribosomal RNA". It matches the Rfam family "Bacterial small subunit ribosomal RNA", at positions 524 to 776 of the family's 1533-position model. The record is from RNAcentral.